CACCAGGUUGAUUCUGCCAGUAAUAUACGCUUGUUUUAAAGAUUAAGCCAUGCAAUUUGUGUUUACUUACACAUAGAGGAGUACGGCUCAGUAAGACGGUGAUUAAGAACUCUGCGAUGGAAGAUAACUAUGGGAAUUCUAUAGCUAAGAUCAAGAGCAUUUUCAUUAGAAGGAAAAAUGUAGCAGAAUCUGUCAUUGUACCAUCAACUAGAUGGCUGGGUAAUGGCCAGCCAUGGUAUUUACGGUUGCGGGGAAUUAGCGUUCGAUUCCGGAGAGGGAGCCUUCGAAACGGCUACCAUGUCCAAGGACAGCAGCAGGCGCGAAACUUACCCACUUUUGGAAACAAAGAGGUAGUGACAAGACAUAAUACAAGAGAGCAUAUUGUAAAAAGAUAUGCGAGAGCGAUUGGAGGGCAAGUCUGGUGCCAGCAGCCGCGGUAAUUCCAGCUCCGAGAGCGUAUGUUAAUUUUGCUGCAGUUAAAAGGUCCGCAUUCUGGAGUCUUAAGGUGAGCAAACAAGUGGGAUUCAAGCUAUUUGCAAGCACGAAUAUAAGAUUUCUUGGGAGCAUCUCGAUCCAACGGGAUUCGGCGAGGAGGAGUGAAACCCCAUGAUUCGGCGAGGACCAACAGAGGCGAAGGCAGUUGGAGGGAGAGUGUCCGACGAACAUGGACGAAGGCCAGGGGAGCGAAGAUGAUUAGACACCGUUGUAGUCCUGGCAGUAAACGGCCCACAGCAUGUGUUUUUAAUUUAGAUGCGUGCAUACGAAAGUAAGUGGGUUCUGGGGGGAGUAUUGUCGCAAGGCUGGAACUUGAAGGAAUUGACGGAAGGGCACCACCAGGGGUGGAUUCUGCGGCUUAAUUCGACUCAACACGGGGAAACUUACCAGGAGAUGAUAUGGGGAAGAACUUUUAGGUGAUUCCAUACGAGGUGGUGCAUGGCCGUUCUUGGUUCGUGAGGUGACUUGUCAGGUUUAUUCCGGUAACGAGCGACUCCACAAACACAGCUAUGGAACAUAGAGGAAGAGUGGACAAAACAGGUCUGAGAUGCCCCUUGAUGUUCUGGGCCGCACGCGGAAUACAAUGGUCAUUUGGGUUGAAAUAAAAUACAAGUGAUCUUAUGGGAUUGAGCUUUUCAAUAGGUUCAUGAACGAGGAAUCCCUAGUAAGCGUCAUUUAUCAAAUGAAGUUGAAUAAGUCCCUGCCCUUUGUACACACCGCCCGUCGAUACUACCGAUGUUCUAGCGAGCGA
RNAcentral lists this ribosomal RNA (1246 nucleotides) under Metchnikovella dobrovolskiji. Its description in RNAcentral is "partial small subunit ribosomal RNA". It matches the Rfam family "Microsporidia small subunit ribosomal RNA". Lineage: Eukaryota; Fungi; Microsporidia; Metchnikovellidae. The record is from RNAcentral.